AGAGUUUGAUCCUGGCUCAGGAUGAACGCUAGCUACAGGCUUAACACAUGCAAGUCGAGGGGCAGCAUGAAAGGAACUUCGGUUCUUUUUGAUGGCGACCGGCGCACGGGUGCGUAACGCGUAUCGAACCUGCCUCAUACUCGGGGAUAGCCUUGCGAAAGUAAGAUUAAUACCCGGCGGUCUCGGAUGGCCGCAUGACUGUCCGAGUGAAGAUUUAUCGGUAUGAGAUGGCGAUGCGUCCCAUUAGCUAGUUGGUGAGGUAAUGGCUCACCAAGGCAUCGAUGGGUAGGGGUUCUGAGAGGAAGGUCCCCCACAUUGGAACUGAGACACGGUCCAAACUCCUACGGGAGGCAGCAGUGAGGAAUAUUGGUCAAUGGACGAAAGUCUGAACCAGCCAAGUAGCGUGCAGGAAGACGGCCCUCUGGGUUGUAAACUGCUUUUAGUUGGGAAUAAAAAGAGGGACGUGUCCCUUAUUGUAUGUACCAUCAGAAAAAGGACCGGCUAAUUCCGUGCCAGCAGCCGCGGUAAUACGGAAGGUCCAGGCGUUAUCCGGAUUUAUUGGGUUUAAAGGGAGCGCAGGCGGCGGCGUAAGUCAGUUGUGAAAUCGUGCGGCUUAACCGUGCAAUUGCAGUUGAUACUGCGUCGCUUGAGUGCACACAGGGAUGUUGGAAUUCAUGGUGUAGCGGUGAAAUGCUUAGAUAUCAUGAAGAACUCCGAUCGCGAAGGCAUAUGUCCGGAGUGCAACUGACGCUGAGGCUCGAAAGUGUGGGUAUCAAACAGGAUUAGAUACCCUGGUAGUCCACACAGUAAACGAUGAAUACUCGCGGUUGGCUCGUUAGAAUCAGCCGCCAAGCGAAAGCGUUAAGUAUUCCACCUGGGGAGUACGCCGGCAACGGUGAAACUCAAAGGAAUUGACGGGGGCCCGCACAAGCGGAGGAACAUGUGGUUUAAUUCGAUGAUACGCGAGGAACCUUACCCGGGCUUGAACUGCCAGUGACUCAUGCAGAGACGCAUGUUUCUUCGGACACUGGCGGAGGUGCUGCAUGGUUGUCGUCAGCUCGUGCCGUGAGGGGUC
RNAcentral lists this ribosomal RNA (1075 nucleotides) under human gut metagenome. Its description in RNAcentral is "bacterial SSU rRNA". It matches the Rfam family "Bacterial small subunit ribosomal RNA", at positions 8 to 1076 of the family's 1533-position model. The record is from RNAcentral.